GUUAGUCGGGAGCUAAGCCGAGGCCGUAAGGAAUAGGUGAUGCACAGCAGGUUUAAUAUUCCUGCACCGAUUUGCGACUAUCCCAUCGAUGACGAAUGAUUGAGAUCUACAGACCCGUUUUGACAGGGCACUGUGCGGCUACGGCCAAGCAGGUGUAGGUGGAUGUUGUUCCGAGAAAAGUUGAUGGGGAACUACGCAGGUUGCCCGUACCGCAAACCGAC
RNAcentral lists this ribosomal RNA (221 nucleotides) under Climacostomum virens. RNAcentral's name for it is "partial Bacterial large subunit ribosomal RNA". It matches the Rfam family "Bacterial large subunit ribosomal RNA", at positions 1379 to 1658 of the family's 2925-position model. Lineage: Eukaryota; Ciliophora; Heterotrichea; Heterotrichida; Climacostomidae. The record is from RNAcentral.